CGUAACACGUAUGUAACCUACCUUGUUCAGGGGGAUAGCCUCUCGAAAGAGAGAUUAAGACCGCAUAACAUCAUUUUUCAGCAUUGCAAGAUGAUCAAAUAUUUAUAGGAACAAGAUGGGCAUGCGGGACAUUAGCUAGUUGGCGGGGUAACGGCCCACCAAGGCGACGAUGUCUAGGGGAUCUGAGAGGAUGACCCCCCACACUGGUACUGAGACACGGACCAG
Molecule: ribosomal RNA, 225 nt
Filed under: uncultured bacterium
Lineage: Bacteria
Description: partial 16S ribosomal RNA
Rfam family: Bacterial small subunit ribosomal RNA
Source: RNAcentral